Molecule: ribosomal RNA, 497 nt
Filed under: uncultured bacterium
Lineage: Bacteria
Description: partial 16S ribosomal RNA
Rfam family: Bacterial small subunit ribosomal RNA
Source: RNAcentral
GAUGAACGCUGGCGGCGUGCCUAAUACAUGCAAGUCGAGCGAACGGACGAGAAGCUUGCUUCUCUGAUGUUAGCGGCGGACGGGUGAGUAACACGUGGAUAACCUACCUAUAAGACUGGGAUAACUUCGGGAAACCGUAGCUAAUACCGGAUAAUAUUUUGAACCGCAUGAUUCAAAAGUGAAAGACGGUCUUGCUGUCACUUAUAGAUGGAUCCGCGCUGCAUUAGCUAGUUGGUAAGGUAACGGCUUACCAAGGCAACGAUGCAUAGCCGACCUGAGAGGGUGAUCGGCCACACUGGAACUGAGAUACGGUCCAGACUCCUACGGGAGGCAGCAGUAGGGAAUCUUCCGCAAUGGGCGAAAGCCUGACGGAGCAACGCCGCGUGAGUGAUGAAGGUCUUCGGAUCGUAAAACUCUGUUAUUAGGGAAGAACAUAUGUGUAAGUAACUGUGCACAUCUUGACGGUACCUAAUCAGAAAGCCACGGCUAACUACGUG